CGACGCUGAGAAAUUGUUCUUUAUUGGAUUAAAGCUAAUUUUUUAAAAAGACAGUGAUUGUUUGUUAGUUUCUUUGGGGCGAAGUUCUUUUAAAAGGUAACAAAGAAGUGCAAAGGCAAAUUAAUUUGAAAAAUUUCAUUUUAAAACGAAAAAGUAUAUAUUUGCUUAACUGUAAGGUUGAUAUACCAAGCAGAAAUUAACGUUGGCUUUAUUGAACCAACUUUUUUG
Molecule: ribosomal RNA, 228 nt
Filed under: Emiliania huxleyi
Lineage: Eukaryota; Haptophyta; Isochrysidales; Noelaerhabdaceae
Description: partial Bacterial large subunit ribosomal RNA
Rfam family: Bacterial large subunit ribosomal RNA
Source: RNAcentral